This 253-nucleotide ribosomal RNA is filed under the name uncultured bacterium. RNAcentral's name for it is "partial 16S ribosomal RNA". It matches the Rfam family "Bacterial small subunit ribosomal RNA", at positions 524 to 776 of the family's 1533-position model. The record is from RNAcentral.
GACAGAGGAUGCAAGCGUUAUCCGGAAUGAUUGGGCGUAAAGCGUCUGUAGGUGGCUUUUCAAGUCCGCCGUCAAAUCCCAGGGCUCAACCCUGGACAGGCGGUGGAAACUACCAAGCUGGAGUACGGUAGGGGCAGAGGGAAUUUCCGGUGGAGCGGUGAAAUGCGUAGAUAUCGCUUGGAACGCCAAAGGUGAAAACAGGUUGCUGGGGUUGUGCCGACGCUGAGACACGAAAGCCAGGGGAGCAAACGGG